This 2125-nucleotide ribosomal RNA is filed under the name Candidatus Acetothermia bacterium. RNAcentral's name for it is "bacterial LSU rRNA". It matches the Rfam family "Bacterial large subunit ribosomal RNA", at positions 1 to 1982 of the family's 2925-position model. The record is from RNAcentral. Lineage: Bacteria; Candidatus Bipolaricaulota.
UAAGGAUGGUAAGGGCGGACGGUGGAUCCCUCGGCAGCCGGAGGCGAUGAAGGGCGUGGCCAGCUGCGAUAAGCCCCGGGGAGCCGCUGAGCAGGCGAUGAUCCGGGGAUUCCCGAAUGGGGAAACCCACCGUACCGUUGAGGUACGGUAUCCGCCGCCGAAACACAAGUAGGCGGCGGAGGCGAACCCCGCGAAGGGAAACAUCCCAGUAGCGGGAGGAAAAGAAAUCAACACCCGUCUCCUUCGGGAGGCGGGCGCGUCCCCCAAAAGGGGACGUGGAGAUUCCCCUAGUAGCGGCGAGCGAACGGGGAACAGCCCAAACCUCACGGGUGUUAAAGCCCGCAGGCGUUGCCCGUGUGGGGUUGCGGGACGGCAACGGGGAGGGCUGCGGACCUCCCAGGGAGUUACAAAAGCCUUCUCUAGCCGAACGGCCUGCAAAGUCGCUGGAAAGGGCGGCCGGAGAGGGUGAAAGCCCCGUAGGCGAAAGGGAAGGCUCUCCCGGGUUGCCGCUCCCAAGUAGCGUCGGACACGUGAAAUCCGGCGUGAAUCUGGGGGGCCCACCCUCCAAGGCUAAAUACUCCCGGCUGACCGAUAGCGCACCAGUACCGUGAGGGAAAGGUGAAAAGAACCCCGGGAGGGGAGUGAAAUAGAACGUGAAACCGUCCGCUCACAGGCAGUAGGAGCCUGGAGGCCUUGGCCCUUCGGGGCCCUGGCCGAAGGGUGACUGCAUGCCUUUUGCAGUAUGAGCCGGCGAGUUAUGGUCCGUGGCGAGGCUAAGCGGGUCUCCCGCGGAGCCGUAGCGAAAGCGAGUCCGAACAGGGCGUCCAGUCACGGGCCAUAGACCCGAAGCCAGGCGAUCUACCCGUGGGCAGGGUGAAGGCGGGGUAAGACCCGCCGGAGGCCCGAACCCAUUGGACGUGCAAUUCCAUGGGAUGACCUGCGGGUAGCGGUGAAAUGCCAAUCGAGCCUGGUGAUAGCUGGCUCUCCCCGAAAUGGCUCUAGGGUCAGCCUCACGGCUCAGGCGGCCGGGGGUAGAGCACUGGAUGGGGAAGGGGGGAAACUCCCGACUCCAACCAAACUCCGAAUACCGGCCGUCGGUCCGUGGGAGUGAGUCCGUGGGGGAUAACCUCCACGGUCGAGAGGGGAACAACCCAGACCGCCGGCUAAGGCCCCAAAAUCCGGGCUAAGUGGGGAAGGCGGUGUGGCCGCUAAAACAGCUGGGAGGUUGGCUUAGAAGCAGCCAUCCUUUAAAGAGUGCGUAACAGCUCACCAGUCUAGCGGCCGCGCGCCGAAAAUGUAACGGGGCUAAGCCCGGUGCCGAAGCCGCGGGCUUUCGCGAGGGUAUCCUCGUGGGAGCGGUAGGGGAGCGUUCCCAGCGGGGCGAAGCCGCGUCGCGAGGCGCGGUGGACUGCUGGGAAGUGAGAAUGCCGGCAUGAGUAGCGAGAGGCGGGUGAGAAUCCCGCCCCCCGGAUGCCCAAGGUUUCCUGGGGAAGGCUCGUCCGCCCAGGGUUAGGCGGGACCUAAGGUGAACCCGAAAGGGGUAGCCGAUGGGCAGCCGGUUAAUAUUCCGGCCCCUCCGGGUCCGCGCUACGAGCGAAGGGGUGACGCCGCAGGACUAUCCCCGCGGGCUUACGGCUAUGCCCGUCCAAGCGUCAAGCCAGGGGGAGGAGGCAAAUCCCCUCCCCCGCUACGGCGAGGCGUGAUGGCGAGCCGCUUAACGCGGCGAAGGGGGAUGGGUUCAGCGGCCGAGAAAAGCCUCUAGCCAGUGGGCCCGGAGCCCGUACCGCAAACCGACACAGGUGGGCGAGGGGAGUACCCACAGGGGGGCGAGAUAACCCCGGUCAAGGAACUCGGCAAAUUGCCCCCGUAACCUCGGGAGAAGGGGGGCCCUCGCCGUGGCCAGGGAUUCUCUUGGCUGCGGUUGGGGGCCGCAGAGAAUCGGCCCAGGCGACUGUUUACCAAAAACACAGGUCCCUGCUAACCCGUAAGGGGACGUAUAGGGGCUGAAACCUGGCCACUGCCGGUAGGUCAAGGGGAGGGGUGCAAGCCCCGAACCGAAGCCCCGGUGAAGGCCGGCCGUAACUAUAACGGUCCUAAGGUAGCGAAGUACCUUGUCGGGUAAGCC